AUUGUGUUAAUUAUCAGAUUGGAUUUUAUAGUUUGAGAGUAUCUGGAAGAUUGAAAACUUUCUAUUUUUGCAUUUUAUAGUCCAGACCCUGCUACAUUGCAUUCUUUAGUACCUUCUUACUGAUGAACCACCAUGGAUGAGAAGAGAGUACAAAAAAGGGAGGAGAGUAUAGUGGCAGCACCUCAAGUAGAAACUGUCAUGGCCUGAGGGAAAGCACUGCAGCACAGAUAAAAAUUAAAAUGUGUCUGGCACAUGGAAUCAGCUCAUUUACUCAAAUGAAUUUUUGUAUUUUUUUUCAAUUCAUCAACUUUCAAAAUAAAGUUGAAAUUUUCUGUUUUCUUUUUGCCUAUAGAUCACUGAGCUCUAACACUGGGGUUCCCUAUUCCAGGACAACUCCUUUGAGUAUUGUCCUUCAAAAGCAGUUGUGGAAUGUUGUUGAUGUCCCUUUCCAAAGAAUUCUUUAAAAAGCAUAUUUUUUUUUCCUACUGUAUUAAGAUAUGCAAAAUUCCUCUAUUGGGUUGUUUCAGCAAGUGUUUUAAUUAACUGAUCAGAAAUGCCAUUUUUGGGACUCCAAAGUGUCUGUAACACAUUUGCCUUUUUUGUGGGGCAUUUUUAUUUUAUUGCAAGCAGUACAGCAUGAUGCCUAACAGCACGGACUCGGAAACCAGACAUUAUUUUGUGUUCAAAUUCCUUCACACUCUAGCCACCUUUUACAUGACAUUUAACCAUUACUUGUCUUAAUGUCCUUACUAACAAAUGGGAAUAAUAAACCUAUUUUAUAGGGCUAUUUAUAUUAUUCUUACAUGCAAAUAUUAAACAAGGGUAAAAAUACAUUUUCUCAGUCCAAUUACCUUGAAAUUUAUUUUAUUGUUAGUGCUGUGAUUUUCACUUAGAGGUUAGUUUUAAAUUCAAGUUUUAGUUAACUAUAGAAAAUGCAAUCAAGGCCAUAGAGAUUUGCUGUUAGCAAUAAUGCUUUAAUUUUUUGUCCUCAAAUUCUUUGAGGGCUCUAUUCAUCCCACACAUUCUGUUUCAGCUGUGUAGCUGCAAAGAUUCUGGGGAAUGCCAGCCAUACAAGGAGACACUUCUCCACAGAACAAAGCACUUGUACAGAAUAAUGUAGAUGGGAAGGAUGGAAUAGGUGAACCCUUAAUUAAAAAUGUAUUUCUGGGCUGGGGCUACACCUCAGCAGUAGAGCGCUUCUCUAGCACAUGUGGGGCACUGUAUUCAAUCCUUAGCACCACAUAAAAAUAAAUAAAUAAAAUAAAGGUAUGGGGUCUACUACAACUAAAAAUACUUUUUAAAUGUAUUUCUGUUUUCAUGAUCAAACAUUAUUUAAAACUUUAAAGUAUUAAUCAUGAAUCCUAUUUAAAUAAUAGGUGAACCAAGCUCAGUAUUAUAGUAUUCUAAGAAAUUUACUCACGGAAAAAUUAUUUCCAUUACUAGCUAAUGAAAAAUGAGGAAUUAGUACCUGUGUUCUGAAGACAAAUAUAGAUGUUUACUUCACAAAAUUUCAUAAAUAUAUAUUUAACAUAUAUAAUAUACAUAGACACAUAUGAUUUAUGUGAACAUAUAUUAAGGCAAUCUGCCACUUAUGCUCUUCAAAUUGUAUCAUUUCUACCAAAUUUAGAUCUUAAAAAUGUGUAGAAAACUGGCAUAACACAUUUGACAGACUCUAAUAAGGUCAAAAGAUGUACUGUAAAUUUUUUAUUGAAAUAUAACACAUAUACAGAAAAGUAUAGAUGUAAAUAUAUAGUUUAAUGAAUUUUUACAAAUUGUACAUUUCCAUGUAACCUGUACCAAC
Molecule: long non-coding RNA, 1801 nt
Filed under: Marmota monax (woodchuck)
Lineage: Eukaryota; Metazoa; Chordata; Mammalia; Rodentia; Sciuridae
Source: RNAcentral